This 478-nucleotide ribosomal RNA is filed under the name uncultured bacterium. RNAcentral's name for it is "partial 16S ribosomal RNA". It matches the Rfam family "Bacterial small subunit ribosomal RNA", at positions 28 to 523 of the family's 1533-position model. The record is from RNAcentral.
GACGAACGCUGGCGGCGUGCUUAACACAUGCAAGUCGAACGGUAAGGCCCUUCGGGGUACACGAGUGGCGAACGGGUGAGUAACACGUGGGUGAUCUGCCCUGCACUUCGGGAUAAGCCUGGGAAACUGGGUCUAAUACCGGAUAGGACUCCUGGCUUCAUGGUUGGGGGUGGAAAGCUUUUGCGGUGUGGGAUGGGCCCGCGGCCUAUCAGCUUGUUGGUGGGGUAAUGGCCUACCAAGGCGAUGACGGGUAGCCGGCCUGAGAGGGUGACCGGUCACACUGGGACUGAGAUACGGCCCAGACUCCUACGGGAGGCAGCAGUGGGGAAUAUUGCACAAUGGGCGCAAGCCUGAUGCAGCGACGCCGCGUGAGGGAUGACGGCCUUCGGGUUGUAAACCUCUUUCAGCUAUGACGAAGCGCAAGUGACGGUAGUAGUAGAAGAAGGACCGGCCAACUACGUGCCAGCAGCCGCCGUAA